RNAcentral lists this ribosomal RNA (422 nucleotides) under uncultured bacterium. Its description in RNAcentral is "partial 16S ribosomal RNA". It matches the Rfam family "Bacterial small subunit ribosomal RNA", at positions 360 to 774 of the family's 1533-position model. The record is from RNAcentral.
AAUAUUGGACAAUGGGCGAAAGCCUGAUCCAGCAAUGCCGCGUGUGUGAAGAAGGGCUUCGACUUGUACCGCACCUUACGUUGGGAGAAAGGGCAGUAAGUUAAUUCCUUGCUGUUUUGGCGUUACUGACAGAUUCAUCACUGGCUAACUCCUUGCGAGCCUCCGAGGUAAUACGAAGGGUGCAAGCGUUAAUGGGAAUUCAGGGGUGUAAAGCGGGCGUAGGUGUUUUGUUAAGUUGGAAGUGAAAGCCCCGGGCUCAACCUGGGAACUGCUUUCAAAACUGGCAAGCUAGAGUAUGGCAGAGGGUGGUGGAAUUUCCUGUGUAGCGGUGAAAUGCGUAGAUAUAGGAAGGAACACCAGUGGCGAAGGCGACCACCUGGGCUAAUACUGACACUGAGGUGCGAAAGCGUGGGGAGCAAACA